Molecule: ribosomal RNA, 253 nt
Filed under: uncultured bacterium
Lineage: Bacteria
Description: partial 16S ribosomal RNA
Rfam family: Bacterial small subunit ribosomal RNA
Source: RNAcentral
UACAGAGGGGGCAAGCGUUGUUCGGAAUUACUGGGCGUAAAGGGCGCGUAGGCGGCCCGCUAAGUCGAACGUGAAAUCCCCGAGCUCAACUCGGGAACUGCGUCCGAUACUGGCGGGCUUGAAUCCGGGAGAGGGAUGCGGAAUUCCAGGUGUAGCGGUGAAAUGCGUAGAUAUCGGAAGGAACAUCAGUGGCGAAGGCGACUUCCUGGACCAAUACUGACGCUCAGGUGCGAAAGCGUGGGGAGCAAACAGG